Long non-coding RNA from Cebus imitator (Panamanian white-faced capuchin), 110 nucleotides. RefSeq lists it as uncharacterized. The transcript has 3 exons. The record is from RefSeq and is a predicted model, not a curated record. NCBI's taxonomy places the organism in Eukaryota, Metazoa, Chordata, Mammalia, Primates, Cebidae.
UGGAUGCAGGUGUUCGCCCAUCUCUCAGGACCAACUGACCCAUGUUCAGCUUCUGUUCACAAGGAACCCUUCUGCACUUCCAAUGAAGCCUUCAAAUUUGUCAUUUGAAG